RNAcentral lists this long non-coding RNA (748 nucleotides) under Eutrema salsugineum. RNAcentral describes it as "long non-coding RNA (ESAL_LNC001637)". Lineage: Eukaryota; Viridiplantae; Streptophyta; Magnoliopsida; Brassicales; Brassicaceae. The record is from RNAcentral.
AGCAGAGAACUCAAAACUAAUAAGCAAAAAUUGAAGUGAAAGGCCAGUACUUGGCCAGCUUGGCGCCUUGAGGGGUGUGAAAGCUGUUGAUAAGAUGAGCAGUUGCAGUACCACUUGGGUAUGUUAGUUUGAAGUCUAUUACCAUUAUCUGCAAUACACACAGAAAUUAGCAAAUUCAAGAUCUCACAAAACUCAUCGUCCCUUUUUGGUUCACAGAAAAGAACCAGGAAACAAAAACUGUGACCAACCUUUCGUAGGGGAACGACCGAGAAGAGCCCAAGAAAGCUGACAACAAAGAGAAAACCGAUUAUCCAACCUAAAGAAGGGUCCUUGACGCCACGGGCAGCAUCUCCUGAUUGGUUCGCAAUUCGUUCACUCAUGCCAAAGAGGUAAGUCCCAAACCCUCCUGUAAUUUUUCAAAUGCCCAAGUAGCCAUUUAUUAAUAAGCAAAAAACCUUAACAUAACUAAAAGGAGAGAGAAGAGAGAGCAGAUGAGUACAAAAGACUCAAAGAAUCUGUCUUUUUAUAUCAGAAAGACAAACACACAAACACACACAUUACCAAGUCAUGAUUCUCACAAGCAAAACUAUGGCAAGGUUCAAUCAAAAACUAAUUUCUAACUUUAAUUUAUGAUUCAAGAUAGAGAGGAGUUUCCUUUACCGCUGAAGGCAAUGCCGGAAGAAGCAACAACGCAGGUCUGAAUAACAGUAUUCUCCUGGCGAGUAAAUGGCUGUUUCAAGUAUCCAGA